Molecule: ribosomal RNA, 382 nt
Filed under: uncultured marine Chaetocerotaceae
Lineage: Eukaryota; Bacillariophyta; Thalassiosirophyceae; Chaetocerotales; Chaetocerotaceae
Description: SSU rRNA
Rfam family: Eukaryotic small subunit ribosomal RNA
Source: RNAcentral
AGCUUCAGUAGCGUAUAUUAAAGUUGUUGCAGUUAAAAAGCUCGUAGUCGCAUUUCUGGCGAGAGGAUCCGGUCCGACCUUUUGGUGGGUUCUUGGGUCUCUUUCGCCAUCCUUGAGUGGUCCGUUCUGGCAUUAGGUUGUCGGAGCGUCAGCCGCUCAUCGUUUACUGUGAGAAAAUUAGAGUGUUCAAAGCAGGCUUAUGCCGUUGAAUAUAUUAGCAUGGAAUAAUAAGAUAGGACCUCGGUACUAUUUUGUUGGUUUGCGCACCAAGGUAAUGAUGAACAGGGACAGUUGGGGGUAUUUGUAUUUCGUUGUCAGAGGUGAAAUACUUAGAUUUACGAAAGACAAACUGCUGCGAAAGCAUUUACCAAGGAUGUUUUCA